UAAUGUUGGUGAGUUUAGUUGCUGAAUUUGUUCCGCCUUAUAAAAUGUGCAGAAUUUGGAAAGACUCCAAAUGGAAACACAGUUGGACAGUUUAUGCAAGAUUGUUCAAAUACACAACUUUUUAAAACCGUUAAUCUAUGAUAUGAAGGAGACUUGAAUACUGUUAUGAAUUUCAAAGAUGUGACUGGCAGUGAUUAGUGUGUGACACUCUUGAAACAAAGUUAUGUUUAUUCCCAUCUUGUAGCCCCAGGCGGAACACGUAUUGAUGAUGGAGACAGCACCAAGGUGACUGAAUACUGUGUGUUUGGUGCCACCGAGGAUCAACAAAUCAUCCGAAACUAUGCUCAGGUCUUCAAUAAGCUUAUCAGGCGUUACAAAUAUCUGGAAAAAGCAUUUGAAGAUUCAAUUAAGAAGCUGUUGCUAUUCCUAAAAGCAUUUUCAGCUUCAGAACAGACUAAGUUGGCAACGCUUACUGGUAUCCUCUUGGCCAAUGGAUCACUCCCAGCUACGAUUUUAACAAGCCUAUUUUCGGAUAAUUUGGUUAAAGAAGGUAAUACUGGAAGACAUUCAUUUUUUC
Molecule: non-coding RNA, 577 nt
Organism: Chiloscyllium plagiosum (whitespotted bambooshark)
Lineage: Eukaryota; Metazoa; Chordata; Chondrichthyes; Orectolobiformes; Hemiscylliidae
Source: RefSeq, a predicted model, not a curated record